UCUGUCAGAGUAUUACAUUAGGUACUGGUGUUGAUUUUUUCAAAAAACGUUGUUAUUGUUUUUCUUAUAAUAACAAACAUUUUACCUACCAGUACUUAUGUCAUACUUACAUACA
Molecule: microRNA precursor, 115 nt
Filed under: Musca domestica (house fly)
Lineage: Eukaryota; Metazoa; Arthropoda; Insecta; Diptera; Muscidae
Description: mir-12 microRNA precursor family
Rfam family: mir-12 microRNA precursor family
Source: Rfam by way of RNAcentral